Oreochromis aureus is the source of this 638-nucleotide long non-coding RNA. The record is from Ensembl. NCBI's taxonomy places the organism in Eukaryota, Metazoa, Chordata, Actinopteri, Cichliformes, Cichlidae.
CGCACAGAGACGCACAGUUGGACCCAAGACAGCUUAGAGUCGAAAUCCAAAGAAAAAACCAGAGAUUUUAAGAUGCUUGGCUCUAGAUGGAUGCUGCCCUUCCUGGCUCUUUACCUGCUGCUGGAGGAGAUAUCUGCUGCUGUCAUACCAAGCAGAUCCAGAAACAAAAGGGAGGUCACCUUAAUGGACCAAGAAGUCUUUUCCCACCUGUUCGAUCACUUGGACAUGAGCGACCUCUCUGUGGGUGACACAGGGGAGACAGUGGGAGAUGUGGGCAAUCGCUCCUUUCAGUCAGAGACUUUCAUCGCCCCAACAGAACACCUUCCUGCCCAGCGGCAGCACCCGAACCAGCACCAGCAUAACCGGAAAGCCAACGAAAAGAGGAGGAAGGUCGCUCCUCUGGACCCCAUCGGCGGCUUUCAAAUAUCCAGCUUCAGAACCCGAAUGGAUGAACCAGACCUCCACGGGGAAGAUUAUCAGAACUAGAAAGCCUGCUAAAUAUCAUGCAUGAACUUUGUAGAACUUGGUAUUUAUUCAGCAUCUGUGCCAUACUAACGAGUGAGAUUCCUGCCAGCUGUCGCCCUCUGCUGGUAGAAAACAAAACCUGACAAACACAACUGUGUGCCAACACCUAAUAA